AGAGAGAGAGAGAGGGACAUGAUGUCCUCCGAGAGGAGCUGUGUGUAGUGAAGGUGGAGCUGAAGCAGAGAGAGAGAGGGACAUGAUGUCCUCCAAGAGGAGCUGUGUGUAGUGAAGGUGGAGCUGAAGCAGAGAGAGAGAGGGACAUGAUGCCCUCCGCCAGCAGCUUCUGACCAACAGAGCCGCCCCAUCAGCCUGGUAGAAGCCCAGAUACCCCUGAGCCCAGUGCAGCCUUCACCCCAUCAGCCUGGUAGAAGCCCAGAUACCCCUGAGCCCAGUGCAGCCUUCACCCCCAUCAGCCUGGUAGAAGCCCAGAUACCCCUAGAUCCUGCCCUGACCUGCCAACCUCUCAGCCUGCCUUGACCUGCCAACCUCUCAGCCUGCCCUCACCUGCCAACCUCUCAGCCUGCCCUGACUUUCCAACCUCUCAGCCUGCCUUGACCUGCCAACCUCUCAGCCUGCCCUGACCUGCCAACUUCCCAGCAGUCUGACCAUGUUCAGCCGAACACACCUCCAGAGGACAGGGGACAGGAUCCAGUUCAACCCAGGAGACCUCCCAAAACUGCAGUUCUGAUAGACUGUAAUGGGAAGUAUCUGGAAGAUAAGAGACUGUUCCCCAGACACCAGACAGCUAAAUGUGGGUAUCCCACUACUGACAGUGCACUACAGCUGCUCUAUCAGGUCAAGCUGGAAAAUCCUGAUAACCUCAUCAUACAUACUGGGACAAAUGACCUGCACACAAAAGGAGAAAGAGUGGCUGAGGAAGCACACAGCCUGUUCCCAAUGACAAACAUUAGUAUAUCCACCUUUCUAGAAAGAUCUCAAAGUUUCUUAGAUUUUUACCAGACCUCAGAAGUCGUCCCCCGAUGCGGUUUAAGCAUUGUUGUGAGCACAGAAAAUCUAAUUUUGUUGUUUUUCUAUUAAAAAAAAACUGUUGAAAAAAAACUGUAAAGAAAACCAUUAAAAAUAAAUAAAAAUGAAUUAGCAGAAAAUAUAAGCAGAUUUAAAAUGGCCCUACCAAUGUUUCUUGCUGUGCAUGACUCCACAUUAGCAUGUCAUCCUGUAGCACAGUAUUUUGUUUGGACCAUCCUAGAAAUGUCAUAUUUGACAUUGGUGGUUAUGUCAGUUAUGCCACAUUUAUGAACCCUUUAUAGAGCAUUACAUACAGUUAUAGAUGACUUGUGACACAUUUAUGUGUUUUGAAGGCU
Molecule: long non-coding RNA, 1208 nt
Filed under: Salmo salar (Atlantic salmon)
Lineage: Eukaryota; Metazoa; Chordata; Actinopteri; Salmoniformes; Salmonidae
Description: lncRNA (ENSSSAG00000087076.1, ENSSSAG00000115095.1)
Source: RNAcentral